AUGCACGCUGGCGGCGUGCCUAAUACAUGCAAGUCGAGCGAACAGACGAGGAGCUUGCUCCUCUGACGUUAGCGGCGGACGGGUGAGUAACACGUGGAUAACCCACCUAUAAGACUGGGAUAACUUCGGGAAACCGGAGCUAAUACCGGAUAAUAUAUUGAACCGCAUGGUUCAAUAGUGAAAGACGGUUUUGCUGUCACUUAUAGAUGGAUCCGCGCCGCAUUAGCUAGUUGGUAAGGUAACGGCUUACCAAGGCAACGAUGCGUAGCCGACCUGAGAGGGUGAUCGGCCACACUGGAACUGAGACACGGUCCAGACUCCUACGGGAGGCAGCAGUAGGGAAUCUUCCGCAAUGGGCGAAAGCCUGACGGAGCAACGCCGCGUGAGUGAUGAAGGUCUUCGGAUCGUAAAACUCUGUUAUUAGGGAAGAACAAAUGUGUAAGUAACUAUGCACGUCUUGACGGUACCUAAUCAGAAAGCCACGGCUAACUACGUG
RNAcentral lists this ribosomal RNA (496 nucleotides) under uncultured bacterium. Its description in RNAcentral is "partial 16S ribosomal RNA". It matches the Rfam family "Bacterial small subunit ribosomal RNA", at positions 29 to 507 of the family's 1533-position model. The record is from RNAcentral.